Molecule: unclassified non-coding RNA, 430 nt
Filed under: soil metagenome
Description: partial contains 5.8S ribosomal RNA, internal transcribed spacer 2, and large subunit ribosomal RNA
Rfam family: 5.8S ribosomal RNA (bases 1-120)
Source: RNAcentral
GAUGAAGAACGUGGCGAAAUGCGAUACGUAAUGUGAAUUGCAGAAUUCAGUGAAUCAUCGAAUCUUUGAACGCAUAUUGCGCUCUCUGGUAUUCCGGAGAGCAUGCUUGUUUGAGUAUCAGUAAACACCUCAACUCCCUUUUCUUUUUUGAAAUUGGAGCUGGACUUGAGUGAUCCCAACGCUUUCUUCCAAGAAAGUGGCGGGUUGCUUGAAAUGCAGGUGCAGCUGAACUUUUCUCUGAGCUAUAAGCAUAUCUAUUUAGUCUGCCUAAAAAACAGAUUAUUACCUUUGCUGCAGCUAACAUAAAGGAGACUAGUUCUUGUGCUGACUGAUGCAGGAUUCACAGAGACAGCUUCGGCUGACUUUGUAAACUCGAUCUCAAAUCAAGUAAGACUACCCGCUGAACUUAAGCAUAUCAAUAAGCGGAGGA